Molecule: ribosomal RNA, 467 nt
Filed under: uncultured bacterium
Lineage: Bacteria
Description: partial 16S ribosomal RNA
Rfam family: Bacterial small subunit ribosomal RNA
Source: RNAcentral
GACGAACGCUGGCGGCGUGCUUAACACAUGCAAGUCGAACGGAAAGGCCCUGCUUUUGUGGGGUGCUCGAGUGGCGAACGGGUGAGUAACACGUGAGUAACCUGCCCUUGACUUUGGGAUAACUUCAGGAAACUGGGGCUAAUACCGGAUAGGAGCUCCUGCUGCAUGGUGGGGGUUGGAAAGUUUCGGCGGUUGGGGAUGGACUCGCGGCUUAUCAGCUUGUUGGUGGGGUAGUGGCUUACCAAGGCUUUGACGGGUAGCCGGCCUGAGAGGGUGACCGGCCACAUUGGGACUGAGAUACGGCCCAGACCCCUACGGGAGGCAGCAGGGGGGAAUAUUGCACAAUGGGCGGAAGCCUGAUGCAGCAACGCCGCGUGCGGGAUGACGGCCUUCGGGUUGUAAACCGCUUUCGCCUGUGACGAAGCGUGAGUGACGGUAAUGGGUAAAGAAGCACCGGCUAACUACGU